This 253-nucleotide ribosomal RNA is filed under the name uncultured bacterium. RNAcentral describes it as "partial 16S ribosomal RNA". It matches the Rfam family "Bacterial small subunit ribosomal RNA", at positions 524 to 776 of the family's 1533-position model. The record is from RNAcentral. RNAcentral also lists the same sequence under 1 other name.
GACGUAGGGCGCGAGCGUUGUCCGGAUUUAUUGGGCGUAAAGAGCUCGUAGGCGGCUUGUCGCGUCGAAUGUGAAAACUUGGGGCUCAACUCCAAGCUUGCAUUCGAUACGGGCAGGCUAGAGUUCGGUAGGGGAGACUGGAAUUCCUGGUGUAGCGGUGAAAUGCGCAGAUAUCAGGAGGAACACCGGUGGCGAAGGCGGGUCUCUGGGCCGAUACUGACGCUGAGGAGCGAAAGCGUGGGGAGCGAACAGG